GCCUCCAUCUCUUUCGGCCCUCCGAGCUCCGGCGCCAAACUCAACCCCCUCUUUCCGAUUUAGACCCGGCGAUGGCGCAGGUAAGUCCUCGUCCUUCCCUUUUUAUUAUUUAUUUCUUAUGUAGAAGAUAAAAUAAAAAUAAAAAUAAAAUGAAACAAGCAGAAACGUGAAUAAAAAAAAUCACCUUCAAAAGUCUGUUUUGUUUUUUUUAUUUCAAUAAUCGUAAAAGCAAAGGAAGAAGAAGUUCUUCCUUACAGUAGAUUCAGUUUUAACCGAAAGAAAAGAAAAAUAAAAGAGAAAAAAAAAUUUCCCCCUAUUACAGUGAUUUCGCCCCCUCUACAUUUUACAAUAUACUAGGCUUUAUAGCCGGAAGAAAAAAUGAAAAAUCGGGGGAAAAUCUCCUCUUUUGCUACUGUUUUCCUAGUCUGCUUCCAUUUCUCACUUUUGUUGCUUGUUUGCAGGUACACGGCAAGGUCAACUUGUCAUUUCGGUGAAAGGAGGGCUGGCGGUGGCAGACAUCGGGCGUGGUGCGCGCUGAAGGCGCACAUGGGGUAGCAACGGCGCGAGGGGCGCCAGAAACCCUAGGAUUUCUGGCCAUUCCAAAAUUUUUUAAGGUUUUGGGUCACCGGGCUUUGUUUCUGUAAUUGGGCUUAAUUUAGUUUGUUGGGCUGGAGCAAAUUUGGGCUUUGUACAGCUGCCCCUCUUUGCUCGUUGUCGUGUAACGAGAAUAGAGCAAAGACCAAGAAAGACCAAAUUUGCCCUGUCUUGUCGAGUCUUGACUUCUUUGAUGCUCCUCUUUUUUCUAGUAGCUUCAUUCCAAUCCACUGUGUCUUGUUGCUUCAACCCACUUCUCUGCAUUUCAAAAGGAUCUGACUUGUAGCUUUAAUUUUCUUCGCCGCAACUUCAGGGGGACGAUGUUUGUGGUUUUAGUCUACUCCGCUGCAACGUCAGAGAGAUAGGACUUGAUGCGAUCUGCUCCACUACUGCUUAGGGAGAUAAGAUCUAUGGUUUUAAUCUGCUCCACUGUAACUUUAGGGAGAUAGGAUUUAUUUCUUUCGUCUGCUCCGCUGUAACCUCAAAGAGAUAAGACCUGAUGCGAUCUACUCUACUGUAACUUCAGAGAGAUAAGAUCUGUGAUUUUAAUCCGCUUCACUGUAACUUCAGGGAGAUAGGAUUGAUUUCUUUCGUCUGCUCCACUGCAACUUCAGAGAGAUAAGACUGGAUGUGAUCUGCUCUACUGCAACUUCAGAGAGAUAAGAUUUGUGGUUUUAAUCCACUCCACAUGUAACUUUAGGGAGACAGGAUUAUCGGCUUCAAUCUAAUGUGAUCUAUUCUACUGUAACUUCAAAGAGAUAAUAUCCUUUAUUUUAAUCCACUCCACUGUAACUUUAGAGAGUUAGGAUUACUAGCUUCAAUCUAUUCCGUUAUAAUCUCAGGGAAAUAAGAUCUCUAGCUUCAAUCUGCUCCACUGUAACCUCAGGGAGAUAAGAUCUAAAAUUCUUCGGUCUACUCCACUGUAACCUCAGGGAGAUAAGACCUGAUGCGAUCUACUCUGCUGUAACUUUAGAGAGAUAAGAUCCUUUAUUUUAAUCUGCUCCACUGUAAUCUCAGGGAGAUAGGAUUGUGUCUUGGAUCUGCUCCAUUGUAAUCUCAAGGAGAUAAGAUCUCUUGCUUCAAUCUGCUCCACUGUAACAUCAGGGAGAUAAGAUCUGAAAUUCUUCGGUCUACUCCACUGUAACCUCAGGGAGAUAAGACCUGAUACGAUCUACUCUGCUGUAACUUCAGAGAGAUAAGAUCCUUUAUUUUAAUCCACCCCACAGUAAUCUCAGGGAGAUAAGACUACCAGCUUCAAUCUGCUCCGCUGUAAUCUCAGAGAGAUAAGAUCUGAAAUUUUUCGGUCUAUUCCCUGGGGAACACGACCUGUAUAAUGAACCUAAUUAUGCCUAAUGAUUAGGUUGGCAUGAUCAAAAUGAAUCAAAUGCUCCUAACUAGAAAUGUGUGAAUGGUGUUUGCAUGAAUGCAGAAUUUUAUUUUUCGUGAAUGAUCUCGCUUAAGUUAUCAUUACUCGAAGUUUAUUAAGGCUUUGUCAUCGAAGUGCUAUAACACAUUCCUUCUCGACUGGCAUUAUCUGAAAAAACAUUUAGCUAGAUUGCCCCCACUGUAAACCUCAAAGUUAUAUCCACUGGGACGCCAAAAUUUGUACCAUCAUUCACCUGCUGUAAUACAAUGGUAUAAAUAUGUGGCUUUUCCUCCGUCCGCUUUUAUCACAAUUCGGAGAUAUAGGAUCUGAACCGUUCUGGUUUCCUACACCAUUCUCAGGGUGUCGUACCAAAGUCUUAUGCUCAAAUGAAGGCUCUCUUCUCCGAGAUAACCUCUUCCUAUUGCCUGAUGAUCAUUGCUUGCUUGUUCAUUUAAGCUUUGCCAUUGACACGACAUCUUGUCAUUUUGUUCAAUCAAUGCACUUAACAACAUAAAUCCAAAGAGAAAGUAUAAAUUCAAACACUUCCUUUUCAGAUUUCCAACAUUUAAAAUUGAUGUGUUCUAAACAAUAGUCCUGUUUCAGGCUCUUAUAUUAUUUAGAAACUUUUUAGAGUAAUAUGCAAAACUUCCUUCGUGAAAGUUUUAUUAGUCCAUUAAUCAUUAUUCCAAUGCAACAUGCUUGCAAAAAGGGUCAUAACAAUGGAUAAGAAUAAAGUUGGUUCUGAGCAUAGCUCGAAAGAACAAGUUAUCCAAAAAUAGUAAAGAAGGAUGACAAAGAAAUUGAUUGGAAAUGUAUAUCUUGGAAAAUGUAUUCCAAGAACAACAAAUAAUAUGAGAAUUAGGUGCCUUAGAUAUCGCAGCUUGAACUUCUAUGUACAAACUUUCUGAAAACCAUUUUGAGUUUGACAUGUGUUUAGGAGAUCUACAGUGCUUUGUCGAUGCCCCAAGAUGUUGCUUAUCCUUUCCUGUUGAUUCAGGCAUAGCAAGAUCACCACAUGCCCCAAUAUGAUCAAAAUUCGAAUCGUUCUGAUCACUUUAUGCCCCCAUUAAUAUUUGAGCCGCCAUUUUCGGGUUUUCAACUCAAAUCCCCUUUGGCCUAAGGCGCCCUUUCCGGGUUUUCCCCUUAGCCUCUCCAUUUUUCUUUUUCAUUUUUCAUUUUUCAUUCUCAUUUUUUUACUCGGAGUGCCCUUUGCGGGUUUUCACCUUGGUCCUUUCUCCUUAUUUAAACGAAGUAUUUCUUGACUGGAUCUGAGUUUAUAGGACUAGCAAUCUCACUCAGGAUUAGUGCUCUUCUGAAGAAUGUCUUCUUUACAACGUAGGGACAUUCCUGGUUUGGCAUUCAUUUCCCCUUUGAAUCUUUUUGGAGAGAAAUGGUUUUUUUCGACAUCCAACCCUCUCGUGGAAUUCUCUGAGAUGACACUAUUCAUUAUGGGCUCGUAUCAUUUGUUUCUGGUACAUCCGACCCUGAAGAAUUGAUUUUAACCUUUUUCCUAGGUUCAACUGAUCGCAUCGCGAAUGGAUCCAUUAUGCUUCAUCCAAUUCUAGCUCAACUAAUACCCAGAGAGAAAGGAUUUCAAUAGGUAAAACUACCUAAACCCCGCAAACCAAAGAGAAUGGUAUUACCCCGGUACAGAUGUUCGACAAACAAUGAGGGCAAAUGGUAAUUUCUAAUGCCAGUCCUUGUUCACCUCUAGGUAACUCGGUGACAAAACGUGGUGUCUGCUUCUGAAUUGAUUUCAGACCUCAGUUAUUGUGCUAUCAUUUAAGUUCAAUGCAUUUUUCAAUACCAUCCUCUCUGAAAUUCUGUAUCGGUAUAGGAUGACCUUGAUCCAUGAAGUAGCCUCUAAAAAAUAAAGCAAUGACCAUUAGAAGUCUUCGAUAAUAAUGAUGUCCAUGCCCCAUUUUGCUCAAAAAUUGAGUCACCCUUUUCGGGUUUUCAACUCAAAACCUCAUUUGGUCACAAAGUGCCCUUUGCGGGUUUUCGCUUUGGCCUCUCCUUUUCUUUUUCUUUUCUAUUUCAUUCUGAUUUUUUCAUCUAGAUUUCUCUUUUUUCAUUCUUCUUUCUUUUUCUCAUUUUUAUUUUGAUCUUGAUUUUGAUUUUUUCUUCUUUCUUCUUUUUGUUUUAUUAUUUUUUAUUUUUGAUUUUCUUCAUUUUCAUUUUGACUUUGAUUUUGAUUUUGAUUUUUCUUUUUCUUCCCUUUUUUUGAUCUGAGCCUUUUCGGGUGUAACUACGACAGAAAACUUUGGAUCUUCCUCUUUAAUCAGGAUGGACCCAACAACAACUUGAAGAGGUAAAAAUUCGACUUCAAAUGGGCAAAGCUAUGCUGACUCCACGAGAAAGGUAUUGCCCCGACAAAGAAUUACAUCGUUCAUACUGUAAAUUUCUAACAUCGUGCUGUUGUGCAGAUUUCAUUAUUGGCGUUUACCCCGGGGCAUAUCCUGGUAUGAUCAUACGAAGACAUCUUUGAACCCUAGAGGUCACUCAAUAAGGUGUUGCUUCGUCUCUGCGGUCAGGUCAAUUCUAAUCUUUACCACGCUCACAAUUUCUAAUGAUUCUUUGUGAGGUAGGAUCUAUCUAUCCUCUUAUUCAACCAUCCUUAACAAGUCAGGAGAUAAACUACAAUCUUUGUCAUUUUCAAAGCCCUAAGAUCCCUCUGAACACAUGCCUCGCUCAAAAGAAAAAUCUGGGUCUGUAGCAGAGUCAUUCACGUCAUUCAUAUCCAAGGACUCAUAAUAAGUACCAAAGAAUAUACAAAAGAAAGUAUAAAUUUAUGAAUAAUUAUUUAUACAAUAUGAUUAUGAAUGAAUGAUGUGGAAGAAAAUCUAAAAGAAUGAAAUAAUCAGAAAUAAUUAUUCAAAAAGAAUGAAAGAAUAUUGGCUCAAAAAGGAAUGCAAAGAUGUAUUUUAUUAGAAUAAUGACGUUCAGACAUUAGCCUAUUUCACAAAGGAAUUUCUAUCGUUUUAGGCUAAAAACAACAAAAAUGUUCUGAGCAUUACUCUAAAUAAGCCUUGACACAGUUUAAUUAUUUAGAACACUCUAAAUUUAUAAGGGCAUGUAUCUAACAAGGUCCCUUUUCCUUUGUGUUUUCAUGUAUGCCAUUGGUGUGAACACUUGCCAACAUUGCUUCAUACAUCUCAUUCAUCCCGUUGUCAACAUGAUUGGGUAUAUGGUUUUUUGCACUAGAUGAAUCACCCAACUUGACAAUACCCAUGUUGAUGAAUUUUUCGACUAGCUUCUUGAAGGCAAUGCAAUUCUCUAUUGAAUGCCCCGUAACUCCCGCAUGGUAGUCACAUUGUACGUUCAUGUCAUACCAUUUGGGAUACGAGGGUUGUAUGGGUUUUAAGUAAUGAGGAGCAACAACAUGCGCAUCGAACAAGCUUUGAUACAGCUCCUUAUAUGACAUCGAAAUUGGUGUGAACUGGAGCUUCUCAGUACCUGGUUUCACUCCAGAUUCUUACUUUAAAGGACUUUGAUGUCUGCUGGUUUCUGUCUUUGGCCGGCCCAUAAUGAUUGGUUUUGAGUGGCCCUUGUUAUAUCUGCCUGCAUUAUCCCCUUUAUUCCCCUUCUUCCCUAGGGCCUUUGUAGUAUCUGGGUAUUCUAUCCUCAUCUUCUUUAUUUUGGCUAGAUUAGCAAUAGGAUUAGCUAAAUCAUUCAUCAAAUUGGAUCCUAAGCCUGUCAGGCAAUUCACUGGUGUCGAUGUACCAGUCUGAUAAUAUUGGGAUCCGAUAGUAAAAAGUGUUUCUUGUGGACGCCCAUCUGGCUGAAUCUGGACACUUGUCAAAGUACAAUCUAAGGAAUAGAAAAGAUCCUCAUUAUCAACCCCAAAGUAAACCACCGGGUCUUUGAAUUUCCAGCUAGCAAUCGGUUGAACUGGUUUAUCAUAGUUCUCCGUAAUUCUAACAUCUGAUCUCUCAUCUCCUGUUGAAAUUCAGUCAAUUGUUCCUGCAUCUGAAUCUGCAUUCGCUCUAAUUUUUCCAACCUUUGUUCCAUUUCUCUAGUCUUUGCUUGGAUGUUGUAAGGGUGUUUGGUUGGUUGAUUUUCUAGGUUAGCUGAAAUAAAUUUACUCGUUUAGACUCUUUCAAUGGAUUUUAAUGCAUGUAAUGCAAUGUAAUGCAAAUACAUAAAAUGAAUGCCUAAAGAGACGUUGAUUCUGAUUCAAUUACAUUUAGGAAACUUUUCUAGAAAGCAAAUUCCCUUAUAUAAAAUGGAUACAUGUACGGCCUCACCCUCAUAUUCCAAGAAACAACAUCGGUCUUUUUCUUCAUCCGCAUGUUUGAGGUAAUCUCGUUAAUAGAUGUCAUUGCUAGCUCAUUCUCUUGAUCUUGGUUGCAAUCCAUCACCUGCCCGUCCUCCUAAGGCUCGUCCGCCUCUUUGAGGGGGUGGAAUGUUGAAGGCUCUUAGACAAUUGCCUUGAAUCCUCAAGCCAUGAAGUAGGAUCACGAACUCUUCCAUCGCCAUUCUUGUGUUUCUCAGAAUAUAUUCGGGAAGUCAUAUUGUUUUCCACUUUAUCAAAAAAUUCGUAUUCCAUGACAAGCUUUCUAAUUUAGUAAUCGAACUUGAAUCAAUAUCUCUUUCCUAAGAUGCAAAUACAAUGUAAUGCAAUCAUAAUCAAAACACAACAAGAAGGGUUAGAACAAAACAUAUUAGAACAAAACAUAAGCAAGCACGGAAAACAAAAAGUACCUAAUCAGGUAAAUACUAGGGAUUUGGAGUGGCUCUACCUAGGUUAAGUUCCUAAGUCCACUAUAUGAGGGUUGGUUCUAAAGAUAAGGUACCCGAACCAGCAGAUUCCUCGAUCUUCACCCAUUAUAGGCUCAUACAGACCGAGUUCGAUUCAGGGGAAUACAUUUCCCUAUGGCUGCACGGAGAUGAAAAUCUCACGAAGACAUAGGUACGGAUGUAUCCCGAAAGCGAUCUACUAUCCUGCACGGAGGUGAAAACCUCACGAAGGAGUAGCUUCUCACUCCCACUUAAAAGGUGUGACCAACGGUCAUGCAAUGCAAUGUGCAGAAAGAUAUAAAAAUUUAAAAUACAAAACAUAAUGAAAACUAUAACUCAAAACAAAUGGAAUGCAAUGAGAGGAUCGUAUAUUUAAAUCAAAUUUUCAACUUUCGACAAAAAGACAAGAAAUAAUCAACUCGUGGCUCGACUCACUUAUUUUGAAAAAGUCCCCAGUGGAGUCGCCAAGCUGUUGACACCAUUUUUUUGAUAAAAACGGGGUCGACUUGGGUUUUGAAAAAUGAAACGGGAGUCGCCACCAAUCCUUUUUUGAGGUGUGAUUGGAUCACCUUGAAAAGUGGUUGUUUUUAAUAAACGAUUUAAUUUUAUUAAAACAACGAUUUUGGUCUACGAAAUUCUGAAAAACGGGUUCGGGAGUCGGUUACGCACGAGGAAGGAUUAGCACCCUCGAUACGCCCAAAAAUUGGUACCUAGUUGAUUAUUUAAUGUCUUAAUGUCGAAAAGCUGAAAACUUUAAAGAAAUUUAAAAUACAAUCCUUAAAAAAACUCGAAUGGCAUGGAUUAAAAUUCAAGAGAAUAUUUUGGCAAUUUGUUUAAACGAGAAAUCGAAACCCAGCACAUUAGGGCACGUUCCUCGAAUUUCCAAACGCAAAACAUUGCCUUAUUUUAAAAAUUUUUAAAAGGAUAUUUAGCUAUUUGGUUGAACGAGAAAAAUCGAAACCCAGCACAUUAGGGCACGUUUUCUCGAAUUUCCCAAACGCUAAAUAUUGCCUUAUUUAGAAAAACCUUCCUUUUGAUGUUUGGUGUUAAUAUGACAAUAACGAAUAUAACAAGUUAAGGAUAAAUGGUACAAACAAUCAUAAAAAAUGGAAUAAAUAAAUAUAAGAGAUGAAUCGAUCACUUGAUAACAAGUAAAUAAACAAAUAGAAUUAAAAUGUUCUUUUAAAAUAAUAAUGAACGUAUACGCAAACAAAUAAAUGAACAUCAAGUAACACGAAAAAUGAGAUGUGUGUUUCUAUAUACGUAUUUUAAAAUAAUAAAGUAUUUUAAAAUAUGUACAUUGUAAGAUAUAGGUAUAUAUACGUAUUAUAAAAUGUAUAGAUGUACGUAGUUUGAGAUUAUAAAAUAUAUGAGGAACAUAUGCAUAUAAAUAUAGAUAAAAGGUACGUAUAUUUAUAUUCAUGAAAAUAAAAUGUAUAUAGGUAUAUAUGGAGAUGUAUACAAAUUAUAAAAAUAUGAAAAUAAGUAUAUGUUUAUAUAAAAUAUUUACAUACAGAUAUAUUUUACAAAAUGUAUGCAUAUAUGUAAAAAUUUAAGAUGUAUAUAUAAAUUAUAUGAGAAUGUAAAAAUAUAAACGUGUAUUUAUUUAUAAAAAGAAAAAAUGUACACAUGUGUAAAGUAUAAAGUAUAGAUGAUACAUAUUGAAGUAGGUAUAUUUAUACAUAUAUAUAAAUUUGAAAAAUUAUGUGUGUGUAUAUGUAUAUAAAAAUAUGAAAUGUCUAAAAUAUAAGAGUAUGUGUAUACAUGUAUAUUUAUAAUAAAGAUAAGAUAUAUAAGUAUAUAUAUAUGAAUAAAAAUUAUAGGCGUAUAUAUAUAUUAUAAAAAUGUAUGAUGGAUAUAGACAUAUAUAUGUAUGUGUAACAAACGUAUGUAUGUACAUAGCAAUAAUAAUAAUAAUAAUAAUAAUAAAAUAACGGGACUAAAUUGAAAACAAAACAAAAUCCCAGGGGAGAAACCAAAAAUAAAAUAAGGCCAAAGAUCAAUCCGUGACGCGCGCAGAGGGAGGGGGACCGAUUGGUCAAUUAUCCCUAGCCAUAUGCGUGUCGUUCCACGUGGGACUAAAAUGAAACAACUAUAAAAUUAUAUGGCUAAUUUAAAAUAAAAGAAAAGAAUGAAAAGGGGGCUAAUUGUAACACACUGCAAAAGCGGAGGGACCGCGCGCGUAAAUAACCCAUUUCAUGCAAACACGCGGAUCCCCCUGGAGCGGGUCGGGUCGCGCGCGGGUCAUGGAGGCUAAACGGCGCCGUUUAAUGUUUUUAUUCAAAACCCCUAAAAAAAACCUAGUUUAUUGCAGCAGAAAAAAAUAACAUAAAAAAAAGGCAGAGCCUCCAUCUCUUUCGGCCCUCCGAGCUCCGGCGCCAAACUCAACCCCCUCUUUCCGAUUUAGACCCGGCGAUGGCGCAGGUAAGUCCUCGUCCUUCCCUUUUUAUUAUUUAUUUCUUAUGUAGAAGAUAAAAUAAAAAUAAAAAUAAAAUGAAACAAACAGAAACGUGAAUAAAAAAAAUCACCUUCAAAAGUCUGUUUUGUUUUUUUUAUUUCAAUAAUCGUAAAAGCAAAGGAAUAAGAAGUUCUUCCUUACAGUAGAUUCGGUUUUAAUCGAAAGAAAAGAAAAAUAAAAGUGAAAAAAAAAUUUCCCCCUAUUACAGUGAUUUCGCCCCCUCUACAUUUUACAAUAUACUAGGCUUUAUAGCCGAAAGAAAAAAUGAAAAAUCGAGGGAAAAUCUCCUCUUUUGCUACUGUUUUCCUAGUCUGCUUCCAUUUCUCUCUUUUGUUGCUUGUUUGCAGGUACACGGCAAGGUCAACUUGCCAUUUCGGUGAAAGGAGGGCUGGCGGUGGUAGACAUCGGGCGUGGUGCGCGCUGAAGGCGCACAUGGGGUAGCAACGGCGCGAGGAGCGCCAGAAACCCUAGGGUUUCUGGCCAUUCCAAAAUUUUUUAAGGUUUUGGGCCACCGGGCUUUGUUUUUGUAAUUGGGCUUAAUUUAGUUUGUUGGGCUGGAGCAAAUUUGGGCUUUGUACAG
Molecule: long non-coding RNA, 9738 nt
Filed under: Gossypium barbadense (sea-island cotton)
Lineage: Eukaryota; Viridiplantae; Streptophyta; Magnoliopsida; Malvales; Malvaceae
Description: long non-coding RNA (GBAR_LNC022567)
Source: RNAcentral